ACUCCUACGGGAGGCAGCAGUGGGGAAUUUUGGACAAUGGGGGCAACCCUGAUCCAGCAAUGCCGCGUGAGUGAAGAAGGCCUUCGGGUUGUAAAGCUCUUUUGUCAGGGAAGAAACGGUAGUAGCGAAUAACUAUUACUAAUGACGGUACCUGAAGAAUAAGCACCGGCUAACUACGUGCCAGCAGCCGCGGUAAUACGUAGGGUGCAAGCGUUAAUCGGAAUUACUGGGCGUAAAGCGUGCGCAGGCGGUUGUGUAAGUCAGAUGUGAAAUCCCCGGGCUCAACCUGGGAAUUGCAUUUGAGACUGCACGGCUAGAGUGUGUCAGAGGGGGGUAGAAUUCCACGUGUAGCAGUGAAAUGCGUAGAUAUGUGGAGGAAUACCGAUGGCGAAGGCAGCCCCCUGGGAUAACACUGACGCUCAUGCACGAAAGCGUGGGGAGCAAACAGGAUUAGAUACCCGGGUAGUCCCA
Molecule: ribosomal RNA, 471 nt
Filed under: uncultured organism
Description: partial 16S ribosomal RNA
Rfam family: Bacterial small subunit ribosomal RNA
Source: RNAcentral